Molecule: non-coding RNA, 779 nt
Filed under: Encarsia formosa
Lineage: Eukaryota; Metazoa; Arthropoda; Insecta; Hymenoptera; Aphelinidae
Source: RNAcentral
UAUAAAUUUUUAUUUUGGAUUUUUAAUUUAUUUAUUAAUUUAUAUAUAUAUAAUUUUAAGAAUUAAAAUUAAUUUAAAUAAUUAAUAUUUUAUUUAAUAUAUAUAAUUAUUAUUAUAAUAAUUUAUUUUUAGAAAUUUAAUUUAAUAUAAAUAAAUUUUUGUGCCAGCAAUUGCGGUUAAACAAAAUAUAUAAAUAAAUUUUUUUUUAAUAUUAAUAUAAUUAAAAUUUUUAAUAAUUAUUAAUUUAAUUUUAUGAUAAAAUAAAAUUUAUUUAAUAUUUAUUUAAUUUUUAAUUUAUUUAAUUAUAUUAUCUUAAAAAUUAGGAUUAGAUACCCUAUUAUUAAAAUUAAAAAUUUUUAUUAAAUUAUUAAAUUUAAUUUUUAAAUUUAAAAUUUAUGGCGGUAUUUUAAUUUAUUUAGAGGAAUUUGUUAUUUAAUUUGAUAAUCCACGAAAAGAUUUACUUGAAAUUAUAUAUUUAUGUAUGUUCGUUAUAAAAAUAUUUUUAUUAAAUUUUAAUUUUUUAAUAAUUUCUUAAAAUUUUAUUUCAGAUCAAUAUUUAAUUAAUUAAGAAUUUAAUGAAUUACAUUUAUUUUAAUUUUGGAAUUAAAAUUUUAAAAUUUUAAUUAAAUAGGAUUUAAUAGUAAAUUUAUUUAAUUAAAUAAAUUGAAUUAAAUUUUAAAAUAUGUACAAAUUGCCCGUCGCUUUUAUUUAAAAUAAAAUAAGUCGUAACAAAGUAAAUGUACUGGAAAGUGUAUUUAGAUUAUUAAUAUUUUUAAUAA